Long non-coding RNA from Apis dorsata (giant honeybee), 1263 nucleotides. RefSeq lists it as uncharacterized. The record is from RefSeq and is a predicted model, not a curated record. The transcript has 2 exons. Lineage: Eukaryota; Metazoa; Arthropoda; Insecta; Hymenoptera; Apidae.
UACCUUAAAUCAUUUCCAUAAAUUCGAUUUUAUUUAACGAUUGGAAACAAAAAAGAAGCAAUUUCAAAUUCUUCCGUUUCUUAUCACAUUCCACGAGCGAACGAUCUAUCCACCAGACAGAGGAGGCGCGAGAGAUUGAAAGAGCGAUUGCGAUUCGAAGCGUCUGCGUGACACGGUGUCUCAUUAUUUGCGACUGAAGGAGGAGGAAUCAGUUGUCGGGACACGUAUUAGCCGCCGUACGUGGCGACAUCCGCUAAUCAAAUACAAGUGUUCGUCAGCAGUCCCGUAUUAUAGAGACGUAGACGUAGCGAAGUCUGUUUCCGAGCUCUGAUAGCCGCGAUAAAUACGCGUUUAAGCGCUCUAUAAUUGUUGUCGCGUGCGUUGCAUUUUUAAACUUUGCCGCCAUUCGUUGCCCUAUCCAAGGAACCGACGAAACACGACUUUUCACGAAGAUAGUCGAAUCUUUUUGUUUCAUAUUUCGAUACAAAUAUCGAUAUAAGGAUUGAAGAAGAAAGAUGUAAAAAAUUUCUUUUGCGACAAGUGAUUGUUUUUCUUCACAAUUUUAAUCUUUUUUUCAAAAUAUUCAAUAGCAAGUGACGAAUUAUUUACACAUUGAAUAAAUUCACGUUUGCACUCGUUUUCGGUUAAUUGAUACAUUCAAAUUCACCUGAAUAGAGGUAUGUUUUCAGAAGUCUAAAAUUACAUUUGGUUAAUGUUUGUGAAUUUGUUCGAUUCUUUUGAAUGUUGAAAGAUAUUUAUUUUAAAGAAAUUUUAAAGACAAAUGAUGAUCAUUAAAAAUUCCCUAGGCGCGUAUAAUUUCGUAGGAAAAGAAUAUGAUUGGCCGACACAGAGAAUAUACAACCAAGCUGACCGAUCAUGGGCCAUGGAUGGUCGUUGGGUCGGUUGAGUAGACCGUUGUAACAGUACCUCACGUGCCAUAGAGAUCCCAUAACCGGCUGCGCGUAAAAAAAUACGCUUCGGUGCAAUCGGUCAGUUGGGAUGCAACCGAAGCGAAGAGCAUAGUCGAGCAACUGUGAAAAUAAGUGUAUAAUUUCUCUCUCACAUUCUUAAUUCAAAGUUUCUUUUACAGAAUUAUAAUGAAUUAUAAUUUUAAAGUAAAUUAAUUUUUUCGAUAAUUUUUACGAUAUUUCUUCAAAUGAAGAUGUUGGAAAAUUCUGAGAUGGGCUCCAAAAGAAAAGCAAAGGAUUUGGGAAAAGUAUCGGUCCUAAACUCAAGAAAAAGAAAAAGAAGGAGGAGAAGGAG